This is a long non-coding RNA of Ictalurus punctatus (channel catfish), 269 nucleotides long. RefSeq lists it as uncharacterized. NCBI's taxonomy places the organism in Eukaryota, Metazoa, Chordata, Actinopteri, Siluriformes, Ictaluridae. The record is from RefSeq and is a predicted model, not a curated record. The transcript is spliced from 3 exons.
AAUGUAUAAAAGGCUACUGCAGCUGCUUCUAAAGCAGCCAACUCUUUUAUUCCAUCACUGCUACAGCACCAUAGCCGCAUAAGUCUGUGUUAGAUGAAGAUGAAGAUACAACUGUUUGCACUGAUUUUCCUGGGCUUGGGUGGUAUGCUUGCAGUCAGUGCACGAUCAGUUGAUGACAGUUCAGCAGAUGAUGACCAAAUCCUGGUGCGCCGCUAUGCUGAAUCCACUCUUGCAAGUGAUAUCAGUAAAAUAAUGGACGCCAUGGUGCA